AGUAACCACUGCACGGCGAGUUGGGCUUCUUUUAAUUUGUGGGAUUUCAAUAGUAGAGGGAAAACCAGGAGCUCCCGACUUGGGGUUGGGAGGAGGAGGAGGAGAAGAAGAAGAAGAGGAGGGGUUUAAGCAUUUCUCUUUCCUUCUCUCUCACUGCUAGUUUUUGAGGCUUCGAGUGACUUUAAUUGAACUGCAUGUAUUCAACCCUAGUGUAAAUAAUGACAUCAGUACCUUCAAAAAACAUAUGGAUCCGGCGGCAACAAUGCCCAUGUGGGGAUUGGAAAUGUUAUGUUGCGUAUGAGGGUGAUGCUGAAGAAACGUCCAUAGCAUCUCAAUUGAUAAAGAAUGAUUCGUCGCCAUCAGAUGCAAUGGUUUCUCCUUAUGUUGGAAUGAUAUUUAAGAGUGAUGAUGAUGCAUUUGAGUAUUAUGGAAAUUUUGCUAGAAAAAACGGGUUUUCGAUUAGGAAAGAGCGAUCGAGGCUGAGCCCGCAACUUGGUAUCUAUAAACGUGACUUUGUUUGUUACCGUUCUGGAUUUGCGCCCAUGAAGAAAAAGCCUACUGGAGAGCACCACAGGGAUAGAAAAUCGGUGAGGUGUGGAUGUGAUGCAAAAAUGUAUUUGUCGAAGGAGAUAGUUGAAGGGGUUUCUCAAUGGUUUGUUGUGCAGUUCAGUAAUGUCCAUAACCACGAACUUUUGGAAGAUGACCAAGUGCGCCUCCUUCCAGCGUAUCGUAAAAUUCAUGAGGCAGAUCAAGAGCGCAUAUUGUUACUUUCUAAAGCAGGUUUUCCCAUUCAUCGUAUUGUGAAGGUGCUGGAAUUGGAAAAGGGGAUUCAGGGUGGGCAAUUGCCAUUUUUGGAGAGGGAUGUCAGAAAUUUUGUUCAAAACCGUAAGAAGCUUGUUCAGGAAAAUGAUGCGUUGCUCACUGAAAAGAGAGAAACUGAUACGAUGGAACUUCUUGAGGCAUGCAAGGCCACAAAAGAGACAGAUGAAGACUUUGUUUAUGAUUUUACAGUGGAUGAGAAUGACAAAGUUGAAAAUAUUGCCUGGUCCUAUGGUGACUCAGUUCAUGCAUACACCAUGUUCGGGGAUGUACUUUAUUUCGACACUACUUAUCAAUCAAUCACGUAUGGAAUGCUUUUUGGAGCAUGGCUUGGGAUUGACAACCAUGGUAGAACCAUCUUCUUUGGCUGUGUCCUGUUGCAAGAUGAAACACCGCGCUCCUUCUCAUGGGCUUUGCAGAGUUUUGUCCGAUUCAUGAGAGGUAGAUGUCCACAAACAAUUCUAACUGAUCUUGACCCUGGGCUUAGAGACGCAAUAAGAAGUGAAUUGCCUGGCACUAAACACGUCACUUCUAUAUGGAAUAUUUUCUCCAAACUACCAAGUUGGUUCUCUCUCCCACUUGGAUCUCGCUAUGGAGAAUUCAAACAUGAGUUCGAUGUCUUAUAUAAUGUGGACGGUGUGGAUGAAUUUGAACUUAGAUGGAAUCAAAUGGUUACAAUGUUUGGACUUGGUUCAGACAAACACAUUGCUUUACUCUUUUCUUUUCGGACAUCUUGGGCACUGUCCUAUAUGAGAGGCUACUUUCUUGCCCAGAUGGCAACACAGGCAUAUUCGAAGUCCGUAGAUGCAUUCUUGAAAGGGGUUUUUAGUGCACAAACAUGUUUACGUAGCUUUUUUGAGCAGGUUGGUAUUUCUGCCAAUUUUCAAAAUCAUGCACGUCUAGAGUUGCAGUAUAUGCAUCUUAAAACAUGUGUACCCAUUGAAGAGAAUGCACGAAGCGUUCUUACGCCUUUUGCCUUCAAUGCUUUACAAAAUGAAUUGGUGCUGGCCAUGCAGUAUGCAACCUCUGAAAUGGCUAAUGGGUCCUAUAUAGUACGCCACUUCAAGAAGAUGGAUGGAGAGCGUCUUGUAAUAUGGAUUCCAGAAGAUGAACAGGUCCAUUGUUCUUGUAAGGAAUAUGAAUCUUCAGGAAUUUUGUGCAGGCAUGCUCUUAGGGUACUUAUAAUAAAAAACUACUUUCAGCUUCCUGACAAGUAUUUUCCAAGUAGAUGGCGACGAGAAAUCUCUCCAGUUAUUUAUGAAAAUAAUGCUACUCAAAAUGGUGAGGAUGAAUGGUUUCGAGAAUAUCAAUGCCUUAGUGAAACUGUAUUCACAGAAUCAUCCAUUACAAAGGAGCGUUCCGAUUAUGUUCGUAGCAAACUGACCAAAGAGCUUACAAGGCUUCUUAAUGAGGUCAGAAAUCUACCAGAGACUGAUGUGGUUGCUAUGGAUUUGACACUUUCACCGACUUGUUGAUUUGAAGUGGUGGGUCUAUGUAUUCUAGCAAAUGCAACACUGGAUACUUCUUCUAUUGGAGGCAACAGACAUGUGGAAGAAUGUAUGAGUAAAAGCUGAUGAAGGUGAAAAAGAGACAAAAGUAUAAUGCAUUCUCAUUAAUACUUCCAAUCAAAAGAGGCAAUAUUCUGGGAAUGGCUAACCAGAAGUGUAUAUUGUGGCUUCCUGUAUGAAUAACUUGGCUGAAAAGGAUGCAGAUGAGGCUGAGUAGGGUGGAUUUCUUCCAUAAAUGUUGCAGUGGCCCUCAUCAAUCUAGGGGCCCUUCUAUAUCUAGAUCUUUCCCCACGAUACCUGAUUUUUAGUUACAUACUUACAGGUAAGUUUAAUACAUUAUUCAUUCAAUUUGAAUCUGAACUUGAAAAAGAGACCCUGUCCAUGAUACGUGGCACUAAAAAUAUUAAUAACAAGAGAAUGGAAAUGAUAGCUGCAAAAUUGUAGCCACGUGUAAGAACCACAUUGAAGGGUCGGUUUCUGUACUGUACAACAUGAUACAUGACUGAGAAGGACAAAUAUCAAUUUGCCAUAUUGAGUGGAUUGCCCUAUUUAUUUUCGAAUUAAUAUCAAAUCUCGACCCUUAAAAGAUUGA
This is an RNA transcript of Carya illinoinensis, 2919 nucleotides long. It is a transcript of the gene named putative protein FAR1-RELATED SEQUENCE 10, with no coding region annotated. The record is from RefSeq and is a predicted model, not a curated record. Lineage: Eukaryota; Viridiplantae; Streptophyta; Magnoliopsida; Fagales; Juglandaceae. The transcript has 5 exons.